Molecule: long non-coding RNA, 544 nt
Organism: Branchiostoma floridae (Florida lancelet)
Lineage: Eukaryota; Metazoa; Chordata; Leptocardii; Amphioxiformes; Branchiostomatidae
Exons: 4
Source: RefSeq, a predicted model, not a curated record
GAUUUACACACGUCUCGAUCACCGCUCAGCAGCGACAUCUAGCGAAUAUUGUGUGAAUCACUACCAGUCUGGUGAGUUGAGCUGGCCACCACCCCGCUCUUCUUCUUGGCCCUGCUCAUGGCCUCCUCCUUGAUGACCAGCAGUGCCCGCAGCCCGUGAGGACCGGGCUCGACCGGCAGGUGCACCGCGGAGUCCGGCCGCAGCUGGAUGGAGUAGUCCUUACGGAACUGCUGCAGGGACGACUUGGAGAAGGAACGCUCCAGAGAGACGAUGAUCUUGGCUUUCUGUAAUGGCAACAAGGAUACACAGGAUACAGUAAGCACUGUACUGUCAAGUCUAAGGGAUACAAAAUUGUGACCUGUCAACCACCUGAAAUGUAAAGGCAGUAUCACAUUGAUCAAAGAUGUGAGCUAUUGUGCUGUGUGUUUGUGCUGACCUCCUGGAAAGUGUUGGACAUCAUGGCGAUGAGCAUGUUGAGCAGCAUGAUGGGAACCAGCAUCAUGAACACCACAAACAGCAGCUUGGCGAGGGCGGGGAACUCUGC